Long non-coding RNA from Cyprinus carpio (common carp), 854 nucleotides. The record is from Ensembl. NCBI's taxonomy places the organism in Eukaryota, Metazoa, Chordata, Actinopteri, Cypriniformes, Cyprinidae.
UCCAAUUUUACUACAUAGUAUCGAGUGGGAAGAUGACACCUGGUGUCCUGAUAUGGAGACAAAGUCUGUGUCAUCAUUUGAAGAAGACGAAACAAAGGAAAUAGAUACAGACUAUGAUGACAGUGAUGAUGAGGACUAUAUGCCACAUAUUUGUGUGCGGACUGGCGGUGCUCUGAAGACUCCGAUUUGUCUGAAUUCCCUUCAAACAAUUAGUAUGGAGGACACUGUGCACGAUGCUGAAGACAACUCCCAAGACCCUACUAUUGCAGACAUACAUCCAAUCCCAGAGACUGCUAAAAUCAUGGUUGAGGAUGACAUAAUUGGCCAGCCAGCAUCUAUAACAUACCACAGUUGUCUGAAGCUGCUUGCUGAAUAUCUUGUUCUACCUGUGAACAUGUGUACUGCUAAGGACACAAACACAAAUGCAGAGUGUGGGGCACAUAAACCAUUUGAGGUCAACAUCCAUUCCGGGGGUACAGCUGCAAUUGUGGAAUGGAUAUGUUGUAAUGGUCACACUGUUUGGAAAUGGUCUGGAUGUCUGGCAUGGGUCCAAAAACUUGAGCAAAAAAAUUCACGCAGCAGGGCAGCAAAAGGGGUGUGCCAUUCUCCAGAUGUGGAAUAAAGACAUCUGCAACCACUUCUGGUACUGCUGUAAGACGGCAGAUACCUAUGAAGAGUUUAUUGUGAGUAUUUUCUUCUUUGAUAUAUUUUUUCAUUUUCAAUAUUUAGAAAGAGAAGAAAUUGAAGCAUCUCUUUUCAUAAACUAAACUAACUUAUAUAAUCACCCGUUUUGGUUUAUAGGUUUAAAAAUGAAAUAACUGAUAUAGUGGGUAUUUAUUGUACAAAUGUUGUGA